UAUCGUAUGCGCGCGUUUGGUGCCCGCACAUGCGUUCGCGUGUGCAGUUAAACGGGAAACAGGCAGCGCGUCGCGCGUUCAACCUGUGCUGUCCCCGCAACGGUAAGCGACCUGCGGCGCGCGUUUCGAUCCUGCCUUCGAUUCCGACGUGCCGUGCAUGCGUUUUUUUGAUGCCACUGUCCAGCGAAUCCGCAGAUUCGCAAACACGGACGGGAAGGCGAAGCGCGUGAGGCCGCCAGCCCGGAUACCGGCCAGACGCGGAGGCGGCGC
Molecule: non-coding RNA, 270 nt
Filed under: Burkholderia sp.
Lineage: Bacteria; Pseudomonadati; Pseudomonadota; Betaproteobacteria; Burkholderiales; Burkholderiaceae
Source: RNAcentral